GGCAGGCUUAACACAUGCAAGUCGAGCGGGGAAAAGUAGCUUGCUACUUAACUUAGCGGCGGACGGGUGAGUAAUACUUAGGAAUCUGCCUAUUAGUGGGGGACAACAUUUCGAAAGGAAUGCUAAUACCGCAUACGUCCUACGGGAGAAAGCAGGGGAUCACUUGUGACCUUGCGCUAAUAGAUGAGCCUAAGUCGGAUUAGCUAGUUGGUGGGGUAAAGGCCUACCAAGGCGACGAUCUGUAGCGGGUCUGAGAGGAUGAUCCGCCACACUGGGACUGAGACACGGCCCAGACUCCUACGGGAGGCAGCAGUGGGGAAUAUUGGACAAUGGGGGGAACCCUGAUCCAGCCAUGCCGCGUGUGUGAAGAAGGCCUUUUGGUUGUAAAGCACUUUAAGCGAGGAGGAGGCUACUCUAGUUAAUACCUAGAGAUAGUGGACGUUACUCGCAGAAUAAGCACCGGCUAACUCUGUGCCAGCAGCCGCGGUAAUACAGAGGGUGCGAGCGUUAAUCGGAUUUACUGGGCGUAAAGCGUGCGUAGGUGGCCAAUUAAGUCAAAUGUGAAAUCCCCGAGCUUAACUUGGGAAUUGCAUUCGAUACUGGUUGGCUAGAGUAUGGGAGAGGAUGGUAGAAUUCCAGGUGUAGCGGUGAAAUGCGUAGAGAUCUGGAGGAAUACCGAUGGCGAAGGCAGCCAUCUGGCCUAAUACUGACACUGAGGUACGAAAGCAUGGGGAGCAAACAGGAUUAGAUACCCUGGUAGUCCAUGCCGUAAACGAUGUCUACUAGCCGUUGGGGUCUUUGAGACUUUAGUGGCGCAGCUAACGCGAUAAGUAGACCGCCUGGGGAGUACGGUCGCAAGACUAAAACUCA
RNAcentral lists this ribosomal RNA (870 nucleotides) under uncultured Pseudomonadota bacterium. RNAcentral's name for it is "bacterial SSU rRNA". It matches the Rfam family "Bacterial small subunit ribosomal RNA", at positions 41 to 903 of the family's 1533-position model. The record is from RNAcentral. Lineage: Bacteria; Pseudomonadati; Pseudomonadota.